AGAGUUUGAUCAUGGCUCAGAAUGAACGUUGGCGGCGUGGAUUAGGCAUGCAAGUCGCGCGAGAACCCGCAAGGGGGACAGCGGCGAAAGGGACAGUAAUGUGUAGAUUAUCUGCCCUCAGGUCCGGGAUAGCUGCGGGAAACUGCAGGUAAUACCGGAUAACAUCUCCGGAUCAAAGGUGUGAUUCCGCCUGAGGAUGAGUCUACAUCCUAUUAGCUAGUUGGUAGGGUAAUGGCCCACCAAGGCUUUGAUGGGUAGCGGGUGUGAGAGCACGACCCGCGUCAUUGGGACUGAGACACUGCCCAGACACCUACGGGUGGCUGCAGUCGAGAAUCUUCGGCAAUGGGCGCAAGCCUGACCGAGCGACGCCGCGUGUGGGAUGAAGGCCUUCGGGUUGUAAACCACUGUCAGAGGGGAUGAAAUGCGGGUGGGUUCUCCCAUUCGUUUGACAUAGCCUCAGAGGAAGGACGGGCUAAGUUCGUGCCAGCAGCCGCGGUAAGACGAACCGUCCAAACGUUAUUCGGAAUCACUGGGCUUAAAGGGUGCGUAGGCGGCGCGGAAAGUUGGGUGUGAAAUCCCUCGGCUCAACCGAGGAACUGCGCCCAAAACUACCGUGCUCGAGGGAGAUAGAGGUGAGCGGAACUUAGGGUGGAGCGGUGAAAUGCGUUGAUAUCCUAAGGAACACCGGUGGCGAAAGCGGCUCACUGGAUCUCUUCUGACGCUGAGGCACGAAAGCUAGGGUAGCAAACGGGAUUAGAUACCCUAGUAGUCC
RNAcentral lists this ribosomal RNA (772 nucleotides) under uncultured bacterium. Its description in RNAcentral is "bacterial SSU rRNA". It matches the Rfam family "Bacterial small subunit ribosomal RNA", at positions 8 to 796 of the family's 1533-position model. The record is from RNAcentral.